GUGAGUAACGCGUGGGAACGUACCCUUCACUACGGAAUAGCUUCUGGAAACGGAAGGUAAUACCGUAUACGCCCUCCGGGGGAAAGAUUUAUCGGUGAAGGAUCGGCCCGCGUUAGAUUAGUUUGUUGGUGGGGUAAUGGCCUACCAAGACUACGAUCUAUAGCUGGUCUGAGAGGAUGAUCAGCCACACUGGGACUGAGACACGGCCCAGACUCCUACGGGAGGCAGCAGUGGGGAAUCUUGCACAAUGGGCGAAAGCCUGAUGCAGCCAUGCCGCGUGAAUGAUGAAGGCCUUAGGGUUGUAAAAUUCUUUCGCCAGGGAUGAUAAUGACAGUACCUGGUAAAGAAGCCCCGGCUAACUUCGUGCCAGCAGCCGCGGUAAUACGAAGGGGGCUAGCGUUGUUCGGAAUUACUGGGCGUAAAGCGCGCGUAGGCGGGCUAUUAAGCCAGAUGUGAAAGCCCGGAGCUCAACUCCGGAAUUGCAUUUGGAACUGGUAGCCUAGAGACCAGGAGAGGUUAGCGGAAUACCGAGUGUAGAGGUGAAAUUCGUAGAUAUUCGGUGGAACACCAGUGGCGAAGGCGGCUAACUGGACUGGUACUGACGCUGAGGCGCGAAAGUGUGGGGAGCAAACAGGAUUAGAUACCCUGGUAGUCCACACCG
RNAcentral lists this ribosomal RNA (661 nucleotides) under Henriciella marina. RNAcentral describes it as "bacterial SSU rRNA". It matches the Rfam family "Bacterial small subunit ribosomal RNA", at positions 106 to 802 of the family's 1533-position model. The record is from RNAcentral. Lineage: Bacteria; Pseudomonadati; Pseudomonadota; Alphaproteobacteria; Hyphomonadales; Hyphomonadaceae.